RNAcentral lists this ribosomal RNA (220 nucleotides) under Escherichia coli. RNAcentral describes it as "partial 23S ribosomal RNA". It matches the Rfam family "Bacterial large subunit ribosomal RNA", at positions 1 to 212 of the family's 2925-position model. Lineage: Bacteria; Pseudomonadati; Pseudomonadota; Gammaproteobacteria; Enterobacterales; Enterobacteriaceae. The record is from RNAcentral.
GGGUUGUGAGGUUAAGCGACUAAGCGUACACGGUGGAUGCCCUGGCAGUCAGAGGCGAUGAAGGACGUGCUAAUCUGCGAUAAGCGUCGGUAAGGUGAUAUGAACCGUUAUAACCGGCGAUUUCCGAAUGGGGAAACCCAGUGUGUUUCGACACACUAUCAUUAACUGAAUCCAUAGGUUAAUGAGGCGAACCGGGGGAACUGAAACAUCUAAGUACCCC